AUGAGUUAUACUACACCAUAACCCUAAUCUUGCCCCGUUGAUGCGAGCAGUUUCAUGGCUAUUGGUUGCAGUGGAAAACAUCCGGCUGCGUUUUAAUGGAGGUCGAAGAGUUUUGUUAGUUGACGUUCUCAUCUCAAUCUCUCUUGUGGGUGUUCUGAUUGCCGCCUAUUGCUUGUGAUGUUCUAUAGAUUCUUGAUGAUAAGUUCCAAACUGAAAGCCAAAAAGGCGAGUCCAGCUUACCGUCCUAAAGAAAGAGUCGACGCUCAUGAAGUCAUGAGUCUUAAUUUUUGAAAUGGUGAUGAUGCUAGUGACUGGAGGCUAAGAAAUGAGAAUCGAGAAAAAAAAUAUGUAUAGUCAUGUUUUUGGUACUCUGGCUUUAUAUGCUGGCAACUUGCAAGUACGGUCUAAUCUAUGUUUCUUGCAUGUAAUUCCUGCUGAAAGAUUAUCUUCUUCUUUUUUUGACAAAGAUGGAAGAUUAUCUUAUACCAACA
Molecule: long non-coding RNA, 491 nt
Organism: Brassica rapa (field mustard)
Lineage: Eukaryota; Viridiplantae; Streptophyta; Magnoliopsida; Brassicales; Brassicaceae
Source: RefSeq, a predicted model, not a curated record